AUGGCCGCCCACGCCGCCGCCGACCCGUUCGAGCCCCAGAAGCAGGAUCAAGAAACAGUGAUUUGCAGGUGGAAACGAAAACGACGGCCGGUGGCCUGUAACUUUUACAAGUGUAUUCAAAGUAGAAACGACAUUCCAAACAGGGCCUUAGUCAUUUCUGAAGUGAAUGGGUCCUUCGGCAAAUGGUUAUCUUUGAGGAAGGAGAAUGAAUUGUUUGAUCAAUGCACUAUGCGUCCCCUCCUAAAGAACAUGGUGAUUCAACUUGUAGGUCUGGUUGAAAGUGUACUUCUCAAGAACAAGUGCCCCGUAGGUCUUUCAAUGAAAGACUUGUACAUCAAGAUUCUUCAUAAUGGUACCGCUAAGCUGCAGGUUCUAAUCCCUGAAGUACAAGUCGCCAGUCAGGGUCUUGAGGUUAAGGCAUGGAAAAGUGUUAGGACCAUUGUUGACGGGUGCUUUGCUAAGUUUAAGAUCGUUCCAGACGAGGCUACAAGAGGCUUCAUCUCAUCAAUUGGGAUUCUGACCAAAAACACUGAAGUUCUUUUUGCUGACUUCCCGGAUCAAUGGGACAACUCCAGGAAAGGAGCAUUCCUCAUGGAAUCCUGCGCACAUGCCAACAUUGUGUCCAGUACGUUCAAUGCUAAGGAUUCAGGUCUGAGGUGGCCACUUGGACAAGACGGAGAAACUCCGUGGGUGUUGCAACAGCUAAUUUAUCGUGGUCAAAAAUUCUCUCAGUACAAUAAGGAUUUUCCGUAUGACUACGUGAAGCUCUGCAGAAACACCUAUAAGCAUUUCGAUGAGUUGCCAAAAUACAUCAAGAACAAGCUUGGAGGGGAUAAAGAUGGACUUUUAAAUCAGAUGGAGAAAUGGACACCGGGCAUAUGGCGCAUCCUAUAUGUAGCAGUCCAUAAGAAUAAGAAAUGA
This 921-nucleotide ribosomal RNA is filed under the name Triticum aestivum (bread wheat). RNAcentral's name for it is "partial small subunit ribosomal RNA". The record is from RNAcentral. Lineage: Eukaryota; Viridiplantae; Streptophyta; Magnoliopsida; Poales; Poaceae.